RNAcentral lists this ribosomal RNA (468 nucleotides) under uncultured bacterium. RNAcentral describes it as "partial 16S ribosomal RNA". It matches the Rfam family "Bacterial small subunit ribosomal RNA", at positions 28 to 507 of the family's 1533-position model. The record is from RNAcentral.
GACGAACGCUGGCGGCGUGCUUAACACAUGCAAGUCGAACGGAAAGGCCCUGCUUUUGUGGGGUGCUCGAGUGGCGAACGGGUGAGUAACACGUGAGUAACCUGCCCUUGACUUUGGGAUAACUUCAGGAAACUGGGGCUAAUACCGGAUCGGAGCUCCUGCUGCAUGGUGGGGGUUGGAAAGUUUCGGCGGUUGGGGAUGGACUCGCGGCUUAUCCGCUUGUUGGUGGGGUAGUGGCUUACCAAGGCUGUGCCGGGUAGCCGGCCUGAGAGGGUGGCCGGCCACAUUGGGACUGAGAUACGGCCCAGACGCCAACGGGAGGCAGCAGUGGGGAAUAUGGCACAAUGGGCGGAAGCCUGAGGCAGCGACGCCGCGUGCGGGAUGACGGCCUUCGGGUUGUAAACCGCUUUCGCCUGUGACGAAGCGUGAGUGACGGUAAUGGGUAAAGAAGCACCGGCUAACUACGUG